GCGUGCGAUCAUGCUGGCAUUAAUACACCGAAUCCCAUCAGGACUUCAUAGUUAAGAAUGCUUGGGCGAGAGUAGUAAUAGGAUGGGUGACCUCUUGAGAAGUCCUCGUGUUGCAUCCC
Molecule: non-coding RNA, 119 nt
Organism: Elaeis guineensis (African oil palm)
Lineage: Eukaryota; Viridiplantae; Streptophyta; Magnoliopsida; Arecales; Arecaceae
Source: RefSeq, a predicted model, not a curated record